UUUUUAUAAAAUUUUAUUUUAUUAUUUAUAAUUUUUUAAUUUUUUUUUUAAAAUAGCGAAGGACGGUGUCGCUUAGUCCGUCGCUUUUCUGGUCAAUUUUUUUUAAAUGGAGCGACGGACUUUGCGACGCUGUCCGUCGCCUCCUACUAAACAUCAACCACAGGUUCUCCCAUUUUUUUUUAUUUUUUAUACUCUCUUAACUCUCUCUCUCUCUCUCUCUCUCUCUCUCUCUUUGAUCCCCUCCCCUAAACUCCGAUUCCGACGCUCAUCCCACCUCCGCCACAGCACUCUGCCGGCGUCUCCGCCGUCGUCGUCCCUUCCUCUCUCUCAGGGGUACAAUCUAAUUAAAUAUUUCAAUAUUCGACGGCGCCAAGCCCACUACCACCAACCCCUCCAUCGUAGACCUAAUUGAAAAAAGUCGAGAUGGGCAGCAGAAACUUUUGAUUUCUGCUGUCAAAAAUAUUACAGUAAAGGCGACGGACAGGGUCCUUUAAUCCGUCACUUUUUUUGAAUUUAUUUUUAAUUUUUUUUAGAAAAGCGACGGACAGGGACCCUAUGUCCGUCGCUUUUUUGGAAAUUUUCAAGAACAUCAAGAACAAAAGCGACGGACAUGGACCCUUUGUCCCUCGCUUUUCUGGAAAAAAAUUUUAAAAUUUAAAAAUAAAACGACGCAGUCCGUCACUUUUUGCGAUGCAGUCCGUCGCUUUAUUAAAAGCGUCGAGCAAAAAAAUGACGGAAGUGACUGCGUUGCUUUUCCGUCGAAUUUGACCAAAAAAGCGACGCAGUGUGUGUUCUGUAAAACGGCCAGAAUCCAAAGAACAUCUAUUCUUUGAAUGCAACUUUACAUCUGGUAUAUGGAGAGAUGUAAUGAAAUGACAGAAGUGACAAAGAAAUCCUCAAAACUGGACCGCUGAAUGGACAUGGAUUGAAGGUCAAGCUAAAGGUAAGCAGCUAGCUUUGCUCCUGUGUCCUGUCAUAUACAAUAUUUGGAUAGAGAGGAAUGUUAGAAUCUUUCAACAUAGAUCUACCACAAACGAGGCUAUUCUUCAUCAGAUCAAACUUGCUCUCUGAACUAGAGUAAGAUCUAAUGUUAGGCUAUUUAGUUAUAUUAGUUCUUUAUAGAAUCAUUUCUGCCUUAUGUUUUUUUGUAAGUUGAGUCUUUUUGUCCAAGUCUGAGAAGGGAAAUGUAGGAGUACUUUCCCUUGGUCUUGUAAAUAUUCCCACUUGGUGAUUAAUAAAAAAUCUCUUUAA
Solanum dulcamara is the source of this 1251-nucleotide long non-coding RNA. RefSeq lists it as uncharacterized. The transcript has 3 exons. The record is from RefSeq and is a predicted model, not a curated record. Lineage: Eukaryota; Viridiplantae; Streptophyta; Magnoliopsida; Solanales; Solanaceae.